CGGGAGGAAGAUACGUUAGCGGAUGUAAAAUUGUAUCCACUAUUCACAAUUUCUCCCAAAAUUAUAUCUGCUUUCUGAUGACUGUAACUUGUUGAGUGUUAAAUUACAGACAGAUACGGAGCAAAUAAAU
This is a non-coding RNA of Neodiprion fabricii, 130 nucleotides long. RefSeq annotates it as small Cajal body-specific RNA 8. The transcript has a single exon. The record is from RefSeq and is a predicted model, not a curated record. Lineage: Eukaryota; Metazoa; Arthropoda; Insecta; Hymenoptera; Diprionidae.